AUUGAACGCUGGCGGCAUGCCUUACACAUGCAAGUCGAACGGCAGCACGGGUGCUUGCACCUGGUGGCGAGUGGCGAACGGGUGAGUAAUACAUCGGAACAUGUCCUGUAGUGGGGGAUAGCCCGGCGAAAGCCGGAUUAAUACCGCAUACGAUCUACGGAUGAAAGCGGGGGACCUUCGGGCCUCGCGCUAUAGGGUUGGCCGAUGGCUGAUUAGCUAGUUGGUGGGGUAAAGGCAUACCAAGGCGACGAUCAGUAGCUGGUCUGAGAGGACGACCAGCCACACUGGGACUGAGACACGGCCCAGACUCCUACGGGAGGCAGCAGUGGGGAAUUUUGGACAAUGGGCGAAAGCCUGAUCCAGCAAUGCCGCGUGUGUGAAGAAGGCCUUCGGGUUGUAAAGCACUUUUGUCCGGAAAGAAAUCCUUGGCCCUAAUACGGUCGGGGGAUGACGGUACCGGAAGAAUAAGCACCGGCUAACUACGUG
Molecule: ribosomal RNA, 486 nt
Filed under: uncultured bacterium
Lineage: Bacteria
Description: partial 16S ribosomal RNA
Rfam family: Bacterial small subunit ribosomal RNA
Source: RNAcentral